CCUACGGGGGGCAGCAGUGAGGAAUAUUGGUCAAUGGUCGGGAGACUGAACCAGCCAAGCCGCGUGAGGGAUGAAGGUACAGAGUAUCGUAAACCUCUUUUGUCAGGGAACAAAGGCGGGGACGCGUCCCCGGAUGAGUGUACCUGAAGAAAAAGCAUCGGCUAACUCCGUGCCAGCAGCCGCGGUAAUACGGAGGAGGCGAGGGUUAUACGGAUUUAGUGGGUUUAAAGGGUGCGCAGGCGGGUUGUUAAGUCCGCGGUCCAACCCCGGGGCUCACCCCCAGCCCGCCGUUGAAACUGGCAGUCUCGAGUUGGAGCGACGUAUGCGGCAUGCGCGGUGUAGCGGUGAAAUGCAUAG
Molecule: ribosomal RNA, 357 nt
Filed under: uncultured bacterium
Lineage: Bacteria
Description: partial 16S ribosomal RNA
Rfam family: Bacterial small subunit ribosomal RNA
Source: RNAcentral